RNAcentral lists this long non-coding RNA (530 nucleotides) under Pan troglodytes (chimpanzee). RNAcentral describes it as "long non-coding RNA NONPTRT005806". Lineage: Eukaryota; Metazoa; Chordata; Mammalia; Primates; Hominidae. The record is from RNAcentral.
UGGGACUUCUAGCCUCUAGGACUAUGCUGCUUGCCUGACAGAGGAAUGGAAUGACUUGCUGAAGGAGUAGCAGAAACACUGACUUGGAGGUGAUGACUUGCAAGAAAGGAGAGUCAUCCUCCAAGAUGUCAGCAAGGGGACAACAGACAACAAGAGGAAUCACCAUCCUAGAAUAGCAGCUGACCCUGAAGAUCAGAAGCUAGGGCUGUCAAGACACAAGGAUGAAUACGUCUGACAAGCAGGAGACCCACUUGAAUUGAAUGCUUCUCGGUGUUCCCUUGUCCAGUUUUGUUGGUAAGUGGACAGACCAGCAGCCCCAAGCUGAGAAGAAAGAACACAAUACACAGAGCUCAAACCCUCGAGGAGUGAAUCUGUGUCAUGUCACCAAGUAAGCUAUGAAAGCCAGCAGUCUAUAAGGAAUCUAGGUUUAAGAAGAUCUGUGAAUUGCCAGGAGACCAACCUCAGUGUUGGACCCUAAAGUUUGUUCUUCAAAUCUUCCUUUUAUAAGUCCCCUUAGAAACAGAGUCUCA